Molecule: ribosomal RNA, 253 nt
Filed under: uncultured bacterium
Lineage: Bacteria
Description: partial 16S ribosomal RNA
Rfam family: Bacterial small subunit ribosomal RNA
Source: RNAcentral
UACGUAGGUGACCAGCGUUGUCCGGAUUUACUGGGCGUAAAGAGCGCGCAGGCGGUCGUUCAAGUCGAGUGUGAAAGCCCCGGGCUCAACCUGGGAAUGGCAUUGGAAACUGGCUUGCUGGAGUGUGGCAGAGGGGGGUGGAAUUCCGCGUGUAGCAGUGAAAUGCGUAGAGAUGCGGAGGAACACCGAUGGCGAAGGCAGCCCCCUGGGCCAACACUGACGCUCAGGCACGAAAGCGUGGGGAGCAAACAGG